RNAcentral lists this ribosomal RNA (253 nucleotides) under uncultured bacterium. RNAcentral describes it as "partial 16S ribosomal RNA". It matches the Rfam family "Bacterial small subunit ribosomal RNA", at positions 524 to 776 of the family's 1533-position model. The record is from RNAcentral.
UACAGAGGGUGCGAGCGUUAAUCGGAAUUACUGGGCGUAAAACGCGCGUAGGCGGCUUUGCAAGUCGGGUGUGAAAUCCCCAGGCUUAACCUGGGAACUGCAUUCGAGACUGCAUUGCUAGAGUAUGGGAGAGGGAAGUGGAAUUUCCGGUGUAGCGGUGAAAUGCGUAGAGAUCGGAAGGAACAUCAGUGGCGAAAGCGACUUCCUGGACCAAUACUGACGCUCAUGUGCGAAAGCGUGGGGAGCAAACAGG